CUGGGAAGCUGCAGGGGGCGGAGCCUCCAUACAAAUGAGGAGGGCUUGGACCUACUGGAUGAGGGGGUAGGGACUUUCCUUGGGCAAUCCCCAGUGGGGAGGCAGCACCCAUGGGUGCCCCACCCUCCAUCGCCUGCUAGCAGAAGGGAAGUCGUGGCUAUAAACCCCACAGCCCCAGGGCAGGAUCAGGAUCAGGCCCGGGAUCGGGGCUGUCCCCCCAGCCAUGGCCUCCCGGCUCAGCUUCCGCCGUGCUUGCUCUCUGCGUGGCCCCCCCCGCCCCGCGACGUAUGGGCGACUGGAAGACCCUGACGACGGGGAGAUGCUGCUUGAGGGAGCCCAGAGCCGGCUGGCUCAGUGCAGGAAGCAGGUGAGGCGGUCCCUGCGCCGCGGCUGGGAGAGCCUGGUGGCCAACCUUCACAGCGUGACACUGCACCCACCCGCCGAGCCCUGCUGAGGGACCCAGGAGGCCGGGGCAGCCCUGGCCCCACCCUGCCCUGCCCGGGUGGAGGAGACAGACCGGAGCCCCCACCCGUCCUGCCGAGCGCCCUGCAGCCACCUGCCCAUCCCUGGCAGCCUGCCCCAGUCAGCGCCCAGAGCUCGACCCCCGCUUCGGCAUGGCGCGUCUGUCCGUCCAUCCACUGUCCGCCCCAUCCUAGAAGCACACAGAUCUUCCCCCCUCCCCACCCCGUGGGCACAGUGUGUCCAUCCUGCCAUCCCCUCCUCUGUCCUCGCUGCGCCCAGCCAGCCCUCCCUCCUGCACCGACCUGCCUCCUUCACCCACU
Molecule: long non-coding RNA, 782 nt
Organism: Alligator sinensis (Chinese alligator)
Lineage: Eukaryota; Metazoa; Chordata; Crocodylia; Alligatoridae
Exons: 2
Source: RefSeq, a predicted model, not a curated record